RNAcentral lists this transfer RNA (72 nucleotides) under Urocitellus parryii (Arctic ground squirrel). RNAcentral's name for it is "Spermophilus parryii (Arctic ground squirrel) tRNA". It matches the Rfam family "tRNA". From Rfam's summary of the family: Transfer RNA (tRNA) molecules are approximately 80 nucleotides in length. Their secondary structure includes four short double-helical elements and three loops (D, anti-codon, and T loops). Lineage: Eukaryota; Metazoa; Chordata; Mammalia; Rodentia; Sciuridae. The record is from Rfam by way of RNAcentral. RNAcentral also lists the same sequence under 2 other names.
UGGGGUAUAGCUCAGAGGUAGAGCACUUGCCUACCAUGCAUGAGGCCCUGGGUUUGAUCCCCAGCACUUAAA